Molecule: unclassified non-coding RNA, 5640 nt
Filed under: Stegodyphus dumicola
Lineage: Eukaryota; Metazoa; Arthropoda; Arachnida; Araneae; Eresidae
Description: down syndrome cell adhesion molecule-like protein Dscam2, transcript variant X5
Source: RNAcentral
GGCGGGAGAUAUAGUGUUUUCUCGUCAGGAGAGUUGCACAUCCGGAAUGUCACGCCGGACGAUGGUUCCAUGAGCUACCGCUGCCAAACAAGCCACCGCCUCACGCACGAAAUCAUAGUCAGCGCCACCUCGGGGCGACUCAUUGUAACAGAUUCGAGUGGUACAGUUCCUCCUCGCGUGACAGACAGCAGGACUGCCCUGUCAGCAGUUCAAGGUGAUGUUGUGGAACUGCCUUGUGCAGCUCAGGGUUUUCCUGUGCCUAGGUAUAGCUGGUAUAAGUACUCAGGAAGGAAUAAUUCCCAACUUCUUCCUGUAUAUCACGAUCCUCGAAUGGCUCAGCUGAGUGGCUCUUUGGUUAUUCGCCAAGUCAGUUUGGAAGAUGGUGGUAAAUAUGUUUGUCUUAUUAGUAACAGUGCUGGAGAAGAAAGAACAGAAUUGCUUCUUAUUGUUACAGCUCAUCUUACUGCCCAUAUCCAACCCCAACAACAAACAAUUGAUGUUGGGAGGCCAGCCAAAUUCAAUUGCUCAUUUGCUGGACAUCCAGUAAAUGGCAUUUCUUGGAUAAAAGAUGGCAGUCCUCUGUUUGAAGAUGGUGUACGAAUCAAGCUUUUUUCUAGAGUGCUACUGACCAUCAUUUCUGUACAAAGGGAAGAUAGUGGCAUGUAUCAGUGUUUUGUUUUCAAUGAUGUUGAGUCUGCUCAGGGAACUGCUCAGCUUUUGUUAGGAGAUGCUGCACCUGUUUUUCAUUAUGUGUUUACUGAAGAAACUUUGCAGCCGGGACCAUUUAUAUCGUUAAAAUGUGUGGCUUCGGGCAACCCGUUGCCACAAAUAACUUGGACGCUUGAUGGUUCUCUGUUACCGGAGGAUCAGCGAUUUCGUGUAGGAGAUUAUAUCACAAUGCAAGGUCGUGUUGUGAGCUAUGUAAAUAUCUCUGAUGUUCGUGUUGAAGAUGGAGGGGAGUAUGAGUGUCAUGCACGAAGCACGGUGGGCAUCGUAAGCCAUGCAGCUCGGCUCAACGUUUAUGGAUUGCCCUAUAUCCGUCCAAUGAAGGACGUGUCGGCGGUCGCAGGAGAAAGCCUCAUGCUACGCUGCCACGUUGCUGGAUAUCCCAUUGACACAAUCACGUGGCAUCGAGGGAACAGUAGACUGCCCAUAAAUCGUCGGCAAGAAGUCUUUCCUAAUGGCACAUUAAUUAUUCAGGAUGUGCAAAGAGGAGUAGACGAUGGGACCUAUAAAUGUAAAGCUUGGAAUAAGCAAGGGCAAAAUGCUUUUGGCACUGUGCGUGUUCAUGUGAUGGUGAGGCCCGUUAUUGAUCCAUUUUUGUUUCCCAAAAACCUUCAAGAAGGUAUGCGCUCCCGCCUUGUUUGUACUGUGAUUCAAGGGGAUCCCCCCUUUGUCAUCAGCUGGAAAAAAGAUGACAGGCCCAUUGAACCUGGCCUUGGGGUUGUCAUUCGCAAUGAUGAAUUUUCCAGCGACUUGACAUUUUCCAGUGUUACACCUCGUCACAAUGGAAACUAUACUUGUAUUGUUAGUAAUGCUGCUGCCUCUGUCAGUCAUACUGCUAUGCUUGUUGUGGAUGUUCCUCCUCGGUGGCAUGUGGAACCUCGGGAUACCUCUGUUGUUUCUGGGCGAAAUGUGCGCAUUGAUUGUUUAGCAGAUGGUUUUCCUGCACCUGUGAUAACGUGGGAGAGGGGCUCAGCCAACUCUCCUCGCCACUAUUCCGCCAUAGCCAGUGGGCCUCACUAUGAGGUCUACGCCAAUGGUUCCUUGCUUAUUAAAAAUGCCCAAGAAGAUGAUGCUGGGUAUUAUUUGUGCCAAGCAAGCAAUGGCAUUGCUUCUGGCCUUAGUAAAGUAGUCUUCCUUACUGUUCAUGUGCCGCCAAGUUUUGAAAACAAGUUCCGGAGCGAGACAGCACGCAAGGGUGAUGUCGUGAGACUGAAAUGCGAGGCGUCCGGAGAUCAUCCGAUGACAAUCGCUUGGAACAUUGAUAAACAGCCGCUCACUCCUGCCGAGGACCCGCGUAGGUAUGAUCUAAAGGAAUUGGUGGACAAAAAACGCAUGUCCUCUGAAAUUACAAUCAAGUCUGCAGAGAGGAGGGACUCUGCCCUUUUUACGUGCCUUGUUAGAAAUGCAUUUGGUCAAGAUGAUAUGAAUAUUCGACUUAUAGUACAAGAGCCGCCUGAGCCUCCACGUGAUGUACGUGUACUUGAACACAAAAGUCGCACAGCCAAAAUUUCCUGGUCUUCUCCAUUCAAUGGAAAUAGUGCCAUUAUUAGAUAUUUAGUACAAUGUAAAUCAGAAUCGGGUGAUUGGGAUUCGGGGAUACAAAAUAUCACUACAGGGAGUGAAGAAUCUAGUAUUACUCUUCGUGGACUUCGUCCUGCAAGAACCUAUUAUUGUAGGGUUAGAGCAGAAAAUUCUGUUGGUCUUGGGGAUCCUAGUGAAGCUGUCACUGUUGUUACUGCAGAAGAAGUUCCUGGAGGACCUCCUUUAGAAGUAAAAGCAGAAGCAGUUGAUUCACAAUCUGUUAGAGUUACCUGGAGGCCUCCAGAUAUAGAGUUAUGGAAUGGUCCCAUUAAAGGGUACUAUGUUGGUUACAAAGUAUAUGAUUCCAAAGACUCCUACCUAUACAAAACUUUGGAAGUUGGACAAGGUACAAGAGAAGAAGUGUUACUAACCCAGUUACAGAAAUAUACAAGUUACAGUGUGUUAGUACAAGCAUACAACUCAAUGGGUGCAGGACCUCGAUCUGAUGAGGUCAUAGUUCGAACCCUUGAAGAUGUUCCUGGUCAGGCACCAAGAGACAUAAAAUGUAUGUCUCCAACAUCUCAAAGCUUACACAUAUCGUGGAGUGCUCCCCCAUCCUCCUCUAUCCAUGGAAUCCUUCAAGGAUAUAAAAUUCUUUUUCGGCCAGCAGAAACACUUGCAGGAGAUGAAGAAUAUGAAGAAAGGACGGUUUCAGAUCAAGAGAUCAAGUUAACAAAUUUACAUAAAUUUACUAAUUAUACUGUGAUAAUCAUGGCUUUUACUCAAAAGGGUUUUGGAGUUCGAAGUGAUCCCAUUUUUUGUUCCACACUUGAAGAUGUUCCCGGGCCGCCUGCCGAUAUCAAAGCUGUUGUUAUGUCUUCAGAUACUAUUCUUGUUAGCUGGAAGCCUCCUUUACAUUCAAAUGGUUUAAUUACUAAGUUUACAUUAUACUGGCGUAGCUUAGCCGGUGGUGCCAAGAAUGAAUCUGUUAUUCGUGUUCCAUCCAACCAGUAUCAGUACAAAGUGUCAGGACUACCAGAUCGCUCACGCCAUGAGUUUUGGGUUACUGCGUCAACAGCCAGAGGAGAAGGUGAACCUACAAGAGUUGUGUCACAAACAACAAGUAGCAGAGUUCCUGCUAGAAUAAUGGAUUUUGGAGAAAAUAUCAUCACUGUUCCUGGAGACAAAAUUGUUCUUACAUGUCAAGCUGUUGGUUCUCCUGUUCCAAAGAGAGAGUGGAAAGUUCGGGGUGAACCCCUUCCUAAAAUGCACAGGCUUGAAGUGCAUUCAGAUGGUGCACUUGUGAUAAGAAAGCUGCAAGUAUCUGAUUCCGGGAAUUACUCUUGUCGUGUCCAGAACAGGCAUGGAGCAGAUGAAAUCAUAUAUGCACUUUCAGUUACAGACUUUCUAUAUACAGAACCAGUGCCAUCUCAUGUGCCGCAAGUGAAGGUUUUAUCUACAACUGCAACAUCUGUUUUGUUAGAACUGCCACAAUCCAGAGAGCGAGCUAUUGUUAGAGGGCAUGAAUUACAUUUUAAACCAGAAGGGGGAGAAUGGCAGCAGCGACGACUUCUUAGCAAAAAUCAUACUUAUAAAUUAGAGGGCUUGGAAUGUGGAGUCAAAUAUCAGCUUUAUGUAGUUCCUUUAACAAGUGAGGGAAAAGGAGAGAGGAGCAACCCCAUAUCAUUUAAAACUCAAGGUUCUGCUCCUGUAGCACCAAAGCAAGAGGAUAUGAUUUUUGCAAAUUCAACUCACCUUGUCUUGCAUUUGUCAGCUUGGCAAGGUGGUGGCUGCCCCAUUACACGUAUGAGUAUUGAAUAUCGACCUCAUAGCCAUAGUCGAUGGACUGUACUGACAGAUCAUGCAAACCCAGAACAACAACAUCAACUUGUAGUACCAGAUUUAGCUGCUGAAACUUGGUAUGUCGUGAAAGUUAUUGCCUAUAAUGGAGCUGGAUCAACCACUGCAGAAUAUGAUGCUAUUACUCUUACUAGUACUAAUGCUUUUCCUGUCCCAGAUCAUGGAACUCAAGGCCACAUGCCAUCUGCAACUUCAUUUUUUGAGGACACUACUACUCUUGUUUCAAUGGCUUCAUCUGGUGUAGUUCUUAUUGCAGGCAUUGUUGCUGUGGUAUGUUUGGUUAUGUACAAAAGAAGACGAAAUACUGGUCAUCAUUACAGAGAAGCAGCUUCAAGAGCUGAUGUUGCUACAACAACAGCUCUAAUGGCACACAUGGAUAAAAAAACUGGACGGUCAGAAUCCAGUCGACAUGGUCAUGGGCAUAGUCAUAGUCAUAGCUCACACAACCAACAAAGCCAUAAUAACCGAGAUCUCCCGUCCUAUUUCUCUUCCCCUGUUCGAAAAGUGGCACCCACCAAUAAUGCUCCUCAAUCACGUCAAAAUAGUCAACAAGCUGGACCUUCUACAAGUCAUUCCUCUCAUUCUGUUCCAGAGUAUGAGGAUGAAAUAGCUCCCUAUGCAACAUUUCAACUUCCUGGACCCCCUGCUGAAGAAGAGAAUGGAGAAACAGAAGAAUUUAAAACUUUUAGUGUUCAUCAUGGAGAGCCCCCUUAUUUAACUAAGACCAGCUUAGAUCCUCCAUCAAGUAAAAGCGGCAAAGCAAGUGAAGAAUUAUAUCAAAGUCAAGCUCCUAACAGUCACAGCCUUACAUCUGGCUCCUCUAAUCAAGAAGAGUUGUUACGAGCAUAUGAAUAUGCUCGACGACAUCCUCCUCCUCCUAUUCAGUAUGAUGGUGGCCACAACAGAGGGCACAGUCACACGAGUGGCACAGGUACAACAGAGUCAGAAGCAACUGAUCCUGGUAUUCGUCAGUUUAGUGGUACUCCUCCCAAACCAAAUGAACGGCGUCAAGGAGCAUGCCUUACCCCUGGGACACAAACAGGUGCUUCAGUGCAAAACACAGAUUCCAGCACAUCAGAUGAAGCAACUCCUGUUAAUACUCCUCAUCAAGCCAGAAUUAUUCCUACAGGGUUUGGGGCCUUGCCCAGGGAUAGAGGUCGGACAUCUUGGGGAGGGCAGAAAGGUCGAAGUCAGUCUGGUGCCAAGAAAUCAAGUUCCAAAGGAAUUAAGAAAGGGCAGCAUCCGAAGAGGGAUAAGUAGCGAUCAGGUAGCACAUCUGUUUUUAUGAGUUACUCAGUGACUUGGUUACUCUUGUUACCAGCACUGAGGAGCCUUUGAUUCUUCUCACCUAUUGUGCCUCCUCAUCAGCAGGGUUUGACCCCAUGUGUCGACAUCUAUUGCUUUCCAGCGACGAGAGUGACAGUGAAGGAACUAUUUAUACUUUCAGCCGAGCUGAUACUGCUGCUCUCCGUGGAAGCUCUGGUAAUGAUCAGUCAGAAACGGAGUGUGACAAAGAUAGGAUAGCAAGACUAG